This 1420-nucleotide ribosomal RNA is filed under the name uncultured organism. RNAcentral's name for it is "SSU rRNA". It matches the Rfam family "Bacterial small subunit ribosomal RNA". The record is from RNAcentral.
ACGCUGGCGGCGUGGAUAAGACAUGCAAGUCGAACGAGAGAAUUGCUAGCUUGCUAAUAAUUCUCUAGUGGCGCACGGGUGAGUAACACGUGAGUAACCUGCCCCCGAGAGCGGGAUAGCCCUGGGAAACUGGGAUUAAUACCGCAUAGUAUCGAAAGAUUAAAGCAGCAAUGCGCUUGGGGAUGGGCUCGCGGCCUAUUAGUUAGUUGGUGAGGUAACGGCUCACCAAGGCGAUGACGGGUAGCCGGUCUGAGAGGAUGUCCGGCCACACUGGAACUGAGACACGGUCCAAACACCUACGGGUGGCAGCAGUCGAGAAUCAUUCACAAUGGGGGAGACCCUGAUGGUGCGACGCCGCGUGGGGGAAUGAAGGUCUUCGGAUUGUAAACCCCUGUCAUGUGGGAGCAAAUUAAAAAGAUAGUACCACAAGAGGAAGAGACGGCUAACUCUGUGCCAGCAGCCGCGGUAAUACAGAGGUCUCAAGCGUUGUUCGGAAUCACUGGGCGUAAAGCGUGCGUAGGCUGUUUCGUAAGUCGUGUGUGAAAGGCGCGGGCUCAACCCGCGGACGGCACAUGAUACUGCGAGACUAGAGUAAUGGAGGGGGAACCGGAAUUCUCGGUGUAGCAGUGAAAUGCGUAGAUAUCGAGAGGAACACUCGUGGCGAAGGCGGGUUCCUGGACAUUAACUGACGCUGAGGCACGAAGGCCAGGGGAGCGAAAGGGAUUAGAUACCCCUGUAGUCCUGGCAGUAAACGGUGCACGCUUGGUGUGCGGGGAAUCGACCCCCUGCGUGCCGGAGCUAACGCGUUAAGCGUGCCGCCUGGGGAGUACGGUCGCAAGAUUAAAACUCAAAGAAAUUGACGGGGACCCGCACAAGCGGUGGAGUAUGUGGCUUAAUUCGAUGCAACGCGAAGAACCUUACCUGGGCUUGACAUGUAAUGAACAACAUGUGAAAGCAUGCGACUCUUCGGAGGCGUUACACAGGUGCUGCAUGGCCGUCGUCAGCUCGUGUCGUGAGAUGUUUGGUUAAGUCCAGCAACGAGCGCAACCCCUGUUGCCAGUUACCAGCACGUGAAGGUGGGGACUCUGGCGAGACUGCCCAGAUCAACUGGGAGGAAGGUGGGGACGACGUCAGGUCAGUAUGGCCCUUAUGCCCAGGGCUGCACACGUACUACAAUGCCCAGUACAGAGGGGGCCGAAGCCGCGAGGCGGAGGAAAUCCUGAAAACUGGGCCCAGUUCGGACUGUAGGCUGCAACCCGCCUACACGAAGCCGGAAUCGCUAGUAAUGGCGCAUCAGCUACGGCGCCGUGAAUACGUUCCCGGGUCUUGUACACACCGCCCGUCACAUCAUGGAAGCCGGUCGCACCCGAAGUAUCUGAAGCCAACCGCAAGGAGGCAGGGUCCUAAGGUGAGACUGGUA